This is a non-coding RNA of Rhypophila decipiens, 108 nucleotides long. The record is from the annotation of a GenBank genome assembly. NCBI's taxonomy places the organism in Eukaryota, Fungi, Ascomycota, Sordariomycetes, Sordariales, Naviculisporaceae.
GGCGUGGUGGCAGAGUGGUCUAAUGCGCAAGACUCGAAUCUAGUAUCCAGCAAAAUUCGGUGUUAUCUUGUCCCUUCGGGGGCGUCCGUUCGAAUCGGGCCCACGUCG